RNAcentral lists this ribosomal RNA (1462 nucleotides) under uncultured Klebsiella sp. RNAcentral's name for it is "bacterial SSU rRNA". It matches the Rfam family "Bacterial small subunit ribosomal RNA". The record is from RNAcentral. Lineage: Bacteria; Pseudomonadati; Pseudomonadota; Gammaproteobacteria; Enterobacterales; Enterobacteriaceae.
AUUGAACGCUGGCGGCAGGCCUAACACAUGCAAGUCGAGCGGUAGCACAGAGAGCUUGCUCUCGGGUGACGAGCGGCGGACGGGUGAGUAAUGUCUGGGAAACUGCCUGAUGGAGGGGGAUAACUACUGGAAACGGUAGCUAAUACCGCAUAACGUCGCAAGACCAAAGUGGGGGACCUUCGGGCCUCAUGCCAUCAGAUGUGCCCAGAUGGGAUUAGCUGGUAGGUGGGGUAACGGCUCACCUAGGCGACGAUCCCUAGCUGGUCUGAGAGGAUGACCAGCCACACUGGAACUGAGACACGGUCCAGACUCCUACGGGAGGCAGCAGUGGGGAAUAUUGCACAAUGGGCGCAAGCCUGAUGCAGCCAUGCCGCGUGUGUGAAGAAGGCCUUCGGGUUGUAAAGCACUUUCAGCGGGGAGGAAGGCGAUAAGGUUAAUAACCUUGUCGAUUGACGUUACCCGCAGAAGAAGCACCGGCUAACUCCGUGCCAGCAGCCGCGGUAAUACGGAGGGUGCAAGCGUUAAUCGGAAUUACUGGGCGUAAAGCGCACGCAGGCGGUCUGUCAAGUCGGAUGUGAAAUCCCCGGGCUCAACCUGGGAACUGCAUUCGAAACUGGCAGGCUAGAGUCUUGUAGAGGGGGGUAGAAUUCCAGGUGUAGCGGUGAAAUGCGUAGAGAUCUGGAGGAAUACCGGUGGCGAAGGCGGCCCCCUGGACAAAGACUGACGCUCAGGUGCGAAAGCGUGGGGAGCAAACAGGAUUAGAUACCCUGGUAGUCCACGCCGUAAACGAUGUCGAUUUGGAGGUUGUGCCCUUGAGGCGUGGCUUCCGGAGCUAACGCGUUAAAUCGACCGCCUGGGGAGUACGGCCGCAAGGUUAAAACUCAAAUGAAUUGACGGGGGCCCGCACAAGCGGUGGAGCAUGUGGUUUAAUUCGAUGCAACGCGAAGAACCUUACCUGGUCUUGACAUCCACAGAACUUUCCAGAGAUGGAUUGGUGCCUUCGGGAACUGUGAGACAGGUGCUGCAUGGCUGUCGUCAGCUCGUGUUGUGAAAUGUUGGGUUAAGUCCCGCAACGAGCGCAACCCUUAUCCUUUGUUGCCAGCGGUUAGGCCGGGAACUCAAAGGAGACUGCCAGUGAUAAACUGGAGGAAGGUGUGGAUGACGUCAAGUCAUCAUGGCCCUUACGACCAGGGCUACACACGUGCUACAAUGGCAUAUACAAAGAGAAGCGACCUCGCGAGAGCAAGCGGACCUCAUAAAGUAUGUCGUAGUCCGGAUUGGAGUCUGCAACUCGACUCCAUGAAGUCGGAAUCGCUAGUAAUCGUAGAUCAGAAUGCUACGGUGAAUACGUUCCCGGGCCUUGUACACACCGCCCGUCACACCAUGGGAGUGGGUUGCAAAAGAAGUAGGUAGCUUAACCUUCGGGAGGGCGCUUACCACUUUGUGAUUCAUGACUGGGGUG